Pungitius pungitius (ninespine stickleback) is the source of this 713-nucleotide long non-coding RNA. RefSeq lists it as uncharacterized. NCBI's taxonomy places the organism in Eukaryota, Metazoa, Chordata, Actinopteri, Perciformes, Gasterosteidae. The record is from RefSeq and is a predicted model, not a curated record. The transcript is spliced from 4 exons.
AUUAUACAUAAAGGUAUUUCCCCGAUAGGACCCCUGGUGCUGUAAUGACGUCACUAUUUAGCUCAGGUCGACGAGCGGCCCUGAUGACGCGUCCAAGAUGGCCGACAGGCCCCUGAGCUGUAACUUCCGCUGCCCGACUGUUCGUGACGAUGGAGACCUGAUGGAAGAAAGGAGACUGACUGGGGGCGCCCUCCAUCCAUCACAUGGGAUCAUGCUGCUGUGCGGGGAUGACGUGUUUAUGUGCUUAAAAGAUCUAAACUGAAUCAUGCAACACAUGAACAGUGAACUCUAGUCUGCACCUGAAGAAAGGCUCUUUACUUGGUAACAGUAUCGCUCAUUUAAAUCAUUCCUUUUUCUUCUUUAUUGGGUCUCAGACGGUGUUUUUGUAUUUGAAUGAUUGUGUGACUUCAAAGUGUUUGUGUUUCUUUCUGAAUUCUCAGAAAAUGUUGGAGGAGCAGCUGGAGAACAACAAGGUUCAAGACAAGCGGACGGAGGACGAAAUGAACAAAGCUGCUGAAUGAGCAGAGACACUUGAAGGUCCUGGAGGAGACGAGGAGGAUGGAGGAACAUUUGUUUCCAGACCUGAGGACGGCAGGUUUCUUCUUCUGCUCUGCGGUUACUCUGAGAAGUAACUUUGACAGUUUGGGGGUGGUUCAGCUUUUGUCAAAUGUUUGCUGUGCAGCUGAAUUUUAAUAAAGAAUAAUGUAGCAUAA